CUUGAUGUUUGAGGGUAUUAAAAAUAUACGUUUCUUGAGACAAUAUGUAUGGGCAUAGGCAGACGUUGCAAUUGGAGGAUACAUUUGAUUAAUAUUCUAUAAUAAUAUUCAAUAAACUACAUCUGUCGGUACAAACUUUGAUUGCGAAAUAAUGAUGUAACUAACUUUUUGGGGGGCGCUCCCGCACAUAAAGCACUACAUACCAUUGCACAAGUCCCGCCCCUGGAUUGAAGAGAUUUGGGGAUAUAAAAUGAAGGAUACAAGCACUUUUGUGUUCAUCUCGUCAACAUCAUCAGCUUCACGACACAUUAAUCCUCGUAGUGUUCUAGUCACUAGCAAACAAGAGAGAGCUUUUGUGUCUCAAUCCUACCUCAAAAGAAUUCCUCAUCCUCAUCCCUCGCACCUCUCUACCGGUAGCGCGAGCCACACAGCGCAGCCAUGGCCAGCGACGAUCAGCGGGGGCUACAUUAUGAACAAACGUUGCAUUGUCCCAGUCAUAUCCACGGCAGCAGGAAGAAUGAAGUCCUCCACAAUAGUAUGGGGCUUGCCUGUCUGUAACGUGUGUGCUGGGAGUGGUGACCUAGAGGCCAGAGAGGGAGCACACAUCUUAGCCACUCGGUAGCUCACCAUAUAAGACGCUUUUAGACCCUUCUUAUUAAUGGUAUCUGUUACUUUUAUACAUGUCUUAUUACUCGAAAGUCGUCAUUAUUCUCGCUCCAAACACUCUGUGGCUUAUUUUUCAAAUGGUCAUGUUUUGUUUCUAAAUGUCUGUGCAAGUGUGAAGGUUUCCUGUGAGAGAGUAACGGUUAAUGUGAUUGGAUGUUCAUUUUUUGACUAGGCUACCUGUAUUUGACAUUGUGUUGUUAUUUCGCUGAACAUUAGAUGGUUUAAUUUUAAUUUUGGCAGUGAAACGAGGCUACUCAUGCGAGAGAGAAAAAACUCACCCAAAUGUACAGCCCCGUUGGAAAAUGUAAAUGUACUGUUUGAAAAUGUGAAGAUAAUACAAAUAAAAAGUGAAAUGUGAAUCACAUUUUGAUUUGGCUUACCUCCGACGGCAUUGCUACCCCAGUUUGGGAAUACCUGUUCCAAAAGGACAACCACCUAUGCAGCACUCCACCAAUCAGGCCUUUAUGGUAGAGUGGAUAGAUGGAAGCCACUCCUUAGUACAAGGCACAAACAUACUGCUCAUCAUAUAUCUGCUGCAGAGGGACAAGAGAGAGCCAUGAGAAAGCAAGUUUUGAUCCGUCAUGGAAAUAAAAGUGCUGAAAACCAAUGGGCUCCCUAUUUCUAAAGAAGAUGGAGAACAAGCUAUGAAGGAAAAAUACUGGAGUUUUGGUGCAGGUACAACAACCUAGUGCAAAAAUAAUAUUGUGAUAUUAUAUUUCGUAAAACAUUAUAUUUUGGUAUGUAACUAUAUCGAUCCCCCCCAUCACUACUCUUCCUCCCCCUCUCUCAUAUAUCCUACCUGUUGUUCUGGCUGAUACAGUCCUAUACACUGUAGAUAGGGUCAGUUGUUCUGGCUGAUACAGUCCUAUACACUGUAGAUAGGGUCAGUUGUUCUGGCUGAUACAGUCCUAUACACUGUAGAUAGGGUCAGUUGUUCUGGCUGAUACAGUCCUAUACACUGUAGAUAGGGUCAGUUGUUCUGGCUGAUACAGUCCUAUACACUGUAGAUAGGGUCAGUUGUUCUGGCUGAUACAGUCCUAUACACUGUAGAUAUGGUCAGUUGUUCUGGCUGAUACAGUCCUAUACACUGUAGAUAUGGUCAGUUG
Molecule: long non-coding RNA, 1772 nt
Organism: Oncorhynchus tshawytscha (Chinook salmon)
Lineage: Eukaryota; Metazoa; Chordata; Actinopteri; Salmoniformes; Salmonidae
Source: Ensembl